This 888-nucleotide ribosomal RNA is filed under the name candidate division Kazan bacterium GW2011_GWB1_52_7. RNAcentral describes it as "bacterial LSU rRNA". It matches the Rfam family "Bacterial large subunit ribosomal RNA", at positions 2012 to 2907 of the family's 2925-position model. The record is from RNAcentral.
AUGACUGUCUCAAAGAGGGACUCGGCGAAACUACAUUGCCGGUGAAGAUGCCGGCUAUCCGCAGCAAGACAAAAAGACCCCGUGGAGCUUUACUACAACUUGACGCUGGGUUAGGAGCUGGUUUGUGUAGGAUAGGUGGGAGACUGUGAAGCCCCGACGCUAGUCGGGGUGGAGUCAACGGUGAAAUACCACCCUGACUAUUUCUUAAUCCUAACCUCUAGCCAUUAUCUGGCAGGGGGACAGCGUUUGGUGGGUAGUUUAACUGGGGCGGUUGCCUCCCAAAAAGUAACGGAGGCGUUCAAAGGUUCCCUAGUCCCGGAUGGAAAUCGGGACGAUAGCGCAAUAGUAUAUGGGAGCUUAACUGCGAGACCUACAAGUCAAGCAGAUGCGAAAGCAGGAUAUAGUGAUCCGACGGUUGCACAUGGGUGCGCCGAAGCUCAACGAAUAAAAGUUACCCCGGGGAUAACAGGCUGAUCGCUUCCAAGAGUCCAUAUCGACGAAGCGGUUUGGCACCUCGAUGUCGGCUCGUCACAUCCUGGAGCUGGAGCAGGUUCCAAGGGUUCGGCUGUUCGCCGAUUAAAGUGGCACGCGAGCUGGGUUCAGAACGUUUCGGUCUCUAUCUGCUGUGGACGAAGGAAAUUUGAGGGAAGUCGCUUCUAGUACGAGAGGACCGAAGCGAACGCACCUCUGGUGUACCGGCUGUUCUACCAAGAGCAUUGUCGGGUAGCUACGUGCGGAUGGGAUAAGCGCUGAAAGCAUCUAAGCGCGAAGCCCACCCCAAGAUAGAUUUCCAUCCCCCGCAAGGGGGGAGAAACUCCAAGGAGACCACUUGGUUGAUAGGCGACAGGUGUAAGCCCAGUAAUGGGUUCAGCCGAGUCGUACUAAUAA